GACGAACGCUGGCGGCGUGCUUAACACAUGCAAGUCGAACGGAAAGGCCCCUUUGGGGGUACUCGAGUGGCGAACGGGUGAGUAACGCGUGAGUAACCUGCCCUUGACUUCGGGAUAACUUCAGGAAACUGGGGCUAAUACCGGAUAGGAAUCCUUGCUGCAUGGUGGGGGUUGGAAAGCUUCGGCGGUUUUGGAUGGACUCGCGGCUUAUCAGCUUGUUGGUGGGGUAGUGGCUUACCAAGGCUUUGACGGGUAGCCGGCCUGAGAGGGCGACCGGCCACAUUGGGACUGAGAUACGGCCCAGACUCCUACGGGAGGCAGCAGUGGGGAAUAUUGCACAAUGGGCGGAAGCCUGAUGCAGCAACGCCGCGUGCGGGAGGACGGCCUUCGGGUUGUAAACCGCUUUCAGCAGGGGCGAAGCUUGUGGUGACGGUACCUGCAGAAGAAGCACCGGCUAACUACGUG
This 465-nucleotide ribosomal RNA is filed under the name uncultured bacterium. RNAcentral describes it as "partial 16S ribosomal RNA". It matches the Rfam family "Bacterial small subunit ribosomal RNA", at positions 28 to 507 of the family's 1533-position model. The record is from RNAcentral.